CCUACGGGAGGCAGCAGUGGGGAAUAUUGGGCAAUGGGCGCAAGCCUGACCCAGCAACGCCGCGUGAAGGAAGAAGGCUCUCGGGUUGUAAACUUCUUUUCUCAGGGACGAAGCAAGUGACGGUACCUGAGGAAUAAGCCACGGCUAACUUCGUGCCAGCAGCCGCGGUAAUACGUAGGUGGCAAGCGUUAUCCGGAUUUACUGGGGGUAAAGGGCGUGUAGGCGGGGGAGCAAGUCAGAUGUGAAAACCACGGGCUCAACCUGUGGCCUGCAUUUGAUACUGUGUUUCUUGAGUACUGGAGAGGCAGGCGGAAUUCCGAGUGUAGCGGUGAAAUGCGUAGAUAUUAGGAAGAACACCAGUGGCGAAGGCGGUCUGCUGGAAAGCAACUGACGCUGAGGCGCGAAAGCGUGGGGAGCAAACAGGAUUAGAUACCCGUGUAGUC
This 443-nucleotide ribosomal RNA is filed under the name uncultured bacterium. RNAcentral's name for it is "partial 16S ribosomal RNA". It matches the Rfam family "Bacterial small subunit ribosomal RNA", at positions 338 to 795 of the family's 1533-position model. The record is from RNAcentral.